UAACGUUAACUGUAUAGAUAGAAGACAAAUCUAAUGCUAAUUUAGCCAGCUAUCCCACCCUGUUUUUUCUGCCUAACUUCCCGCUGCUAAGGGACUUCAGUCAGGAUGAGAGCGGACAAAGGCCCCGAGGACACAACACAU
Molecule: long non-coding RNA, 141 nt
Organism: Etheostoma cragini (Arkansas darter)
Lineage: Eukaryota; Metazoa; Chordata; Actinopteri; Perciformes; Percidae
Exons: 3
Source: RefSeq, a predicted model, not a curated record